Molecule: ribosomal RNA, 257 nt
Filed under: uncultured Glomus
Lineage: Eukaryota; Fungi; Glomeromycota; Glomeromycetes; Glomerales; Glomeraceae
Description: partial 18S ribosomal RNA
Rfam family: Eukaryotic small subunit ribosomal RNA
Source: RNAcentral
AAGCUCGUAGUUGAAUUUCGGGGUCAGUAGGUUGGUCGUGCCACCGGUACGUACUGGCCUCACUGAUUCCUCCUUCCUGAUGAGCUGUAAUGCCAUUAAUUUGGUGUUGCAGGGAAUCUGGACUGUUACUUUGAAAAAAUUGAGUGUUUAAAGCAGGCUAACGCUUGAAUACAUUAGCAUGGAAUAAUGAAAUAGGACGUUCGAUCCUAUUUUGUUGGUUUCUAGGAUUGACGUAAUGAUUAAUAGGGAUAGUUGGG